RNAcentral lists this ribosomal RNA (857 nucleotides) under Klebsiella pneumoniae. Its description in RNAcentral is "bacterial LSU rRNA". It matches the Rfam family "Bacterial large subunit ribosomal RNA", at positions 399 to 1258 of the family's 2925-position model. The record is from RNAcentral. RNAcentral also lists the same sequence under 1 other name. Lineage: Bacteria; Pseudomonadati; Pseudomonadota; Gammaproteobacteria; Enterobacterales; Enterobacteriaceae.
GUGAACUCGAAGAGUAGGGCGGGACACGUGGUAUCCUGUCUGAAUAUGGGGGGACCAUCCUCCAAGGCUAAAUACUCCUGACUGACCGAUAGUGAACCAGUACCGUGAGGGAAAGGCGAAAAGAACCCCGGCGAGGGGAGUGAAAAAGAACCUGAAACCGUGUACGUACAAGCAGUGGGAGCACCUUCGGGUGUGACUGCGUACCUUUUGUAUAAUGGGUCAGCGACUUAUAUUCUGUAGCAAGGUUAACCGUAUAGGGGAGCCGCAGGGAAACCGAGUCUUAACUGGGCGUUAAGUUGCAGGGUAUAGACCCGAAACCCGGUGAUCUAGCCAUGGGCAGGUUGAAGGUUGGGUAACACUAACUGGAGGACCGAACCGACUAAUGUUGAAAAAUUAGCGGAUGACUUGUGGCUGGGGGUGAAAGGCCAAUCAAACCGGGAGAUAGCUGGUUCUCCCCGAAAGCUAUUUAGGUAGCGCCUCGUGAACUCAUCUUCGGGGGUAGAGCACUGUUUCGGCUAGGGGGUCAUCCCGACUUACCAACCCGAUGCAAACUACGAAUACCGAAGAAUGUUAUCACGGGAGACACACGGCGGGUGCUAACGUCCGUCGUGAAGAGGGAAACAACCCAGACCGCCAGCUAAGGUCCCAAAGUCAUGGUUAAGUGGGAAACGAUGUGGGAAGGCACAGACAGCCAGGAUGUUGGCUUAGAAGCAGCCAUCAUUUAAAGAAAGCGUAAUAGCUCACUGGUCGAGUCGGCCUGCGCGGAAGAUGUAACGGGGCUAAACCAUGCACCGAAGCUGCGGCAGCGACACUAUGUGUUGUUGGGUAGGGGAGCGUUCUGUAAGCCUGCGAAGGUG